ACGUGCUCGACACCAAACCGGCUGCUGCCAUCUUCUUCCCAAACCUACAAGGAGAUUUCAUGCCAUGCAGCACAAAAUGGAUACAAUCCAGGAAAAAUAACGAAUGAACAGAGACUGGAAGCAUUUGAGAACGCAGACUGAACAAUAUUAGCAUUGUGAACCUGCCUGAGGGAUUAGAAGGAAAGGAUGCAGCUGGGUUUUCCUGGAAAUUGGCUGCCAAGGAUUUUGAAACAAAGAUGAGAAUGACCAGAUAAGUGUCGAAAGAUUUUUUUAAAAUCCAUGUUAGAAGACCAACAGCUUGAAGCACAUGAUCAUCAUCAUCAGGAAUUAAGGCAGUCACUUCACCUGACACAUACAAGAAAUAAUCUUUUCUCCCUAAUGUCAUGCUGUUGAGCUACAGUCUCGGGCUGACUCACACCGUCUCAGAAAAAAAAAAAAAAUUAAUCUAGAUGUGUGCACCAAGCAGCAGCAGAUGACUCUUCUACCCACAAACUGUGGGUUGCAGCUACCAGGAAGUCAUUUGUUCUGCGACAUGAAGUCAGCUGGGCAGACAAACACUUAUUUAAGAGUACAAAAGGAAUCUCAGCAUCUGACAACAAUGAAUGGCUAACAAUUUUAUUCUCUUGAUUUUAAGUGUGGAAAGGAAUAUUAUGCAUGCAAUUGGUUGUUUAGCUGUUUAGGUGUGCAAUGAUAUAAACAACUUUGAAAGUAAUCUUAAUAUGACAUACUUCUAACUAUGAAUCAUUUCUUGCAGAUGAGAAUUGUUGUAGAAAAAAAAUGUUUUGAUUGUAGUGAAUAAAAUACCUCCCAAGAU
Chelonoidis abingdonii (Abingdon island giant tortoise) is the source of this 814-nucleotide non-coding RNA. The record is from RefSeq and is a predicted model, not a curated record. Lineage: Eukaryota; Metazoa; Chordata; Testudines; Testudinidae.